GCCGGGGUAGCCAAGCCUGGGAAAGGCGCGGGACUUGAGAUCCCGUGUCCAGUUGGACUCAUGGGUUCAAAUCCCAUCCCCGGCGCCA
This 88-nucleotide transfer RNA is filed under the name Methanobacteriota archaeon. RNAcentral describes it as "Euryarchaeota archaeon tRNA-Ser". It matches the Rfam family "tRNA". Rfam says of the family: Transfer RNA (tRNA) molecules are approximately 80 nucleotides in length. Their secondary structure includes four short double-helical elements and three loops (D, anti-codon, and T loops). Further hydrogen bonds mediate the characteristic L-shaped molecular structure. tRNAs have two regions of fundamental functional importance: the anti-codon, which is responsible for specific mRNA codon recognition, and the 3' end, to which the tRNAs corresponding amino acid is attached (by aminoacyl-tRNA synthetases). tRNAs cope with the degeneracy of the genetic code in two manners: having more than one tRNA (with a specific anti-codon) for a particular amino acid; and 'wobble' base-pairing, i.e. permitting non-standard base-pairing at the 3rd anti-codon position. RNAcentral also lists the same sequence under 1 other name. The record is from RNAcentral. Lineage: Archaea; Methanobacteriati; Methanobacteriota.